Non-coding RNA from Sturnus vulgaris (Common starling), 478 nucleotides. The record is from RefSeq and is a predicted model, not a curated record. Lineage: Eukaryota; Metazoa; Chordata; Aves; Passeriformes; Sturnidae.
UGUCCCUGUCCAUGGCAGGGGUUGGAAUGUCAGCUUUAAUGUCUCUUCCAACUCAAACCAGUCUGUGGUUUCAUGUAAAACACAUGGUGCCUCUAUCAGCCUGUCCACCGUGGUUUUUCUUAACAUUUGGGGUCAUUCUUCUGAACAGAGCCUGGGAGCAGUAUUCUACAAAUUCUUGUGCAGAAACAAGUGCUUCUGAGAAGAGAAAAAAAAAAUCCCCCAAACCAGAGACUUCACCAGUGCAGUCUCAGUAGUUUCUGGAGGUGGAUGCCCGUAGCUGCAGGGAGACAGUUUUUCUGUCUCACUUGCACUGUAGAUCUUUGAACUCUUAGGCCAGUAAAUCUUACCUCUGUCACUUGACUCUUUGCCUGCCUUUGACAAACUACAAGUGUACUGUCUCCUAGGUCAGCUUUACUUCAAGGCAAAGUAAAUAAUGCAUGAUAAGCAGCAACUGUCCAGGAACACAAGUUAAUUGUUU